GAUGAACGCUGGCGGCGUGCCUAAUACAUGCAAGUCGAGCGAACGGACGAGAAGCUUGCUUCUCUGAUGUUAGCGGCGGACGGGUGAGUAACACGUGGAUAACCUACCUAUAAGACUGGGAUAACUUCGGGAAACCGUAGCUAAUACCGGAUAAUAUUUUGAACCGCAUGGUUCAAAAGUGAAAGACGGUCUUGAUGUCACUUAUAGAUGGAUCCGCGCUGCAUUAGCUAGUUGGUAAGGUAAAGGCUUACCAAGGCAACGAUGCAUAACCGACCUGAGAGGGUGAUCGGCCACACUGGAACUGAGACACGGUCCAGACUCCUACGGGAGGCAGCAGUAGGGAAUCUUCCGCAAUGGGCGAAAGCCUGACGGAGCAACGCCGCGUGAGUGAUGAAGGUCUUCGGAUCGUAAAACUCUGUUAUUAGGGAAGAACAUAUGUGUAAGUAACUGUGCACAUCUUGACGGUACCUAAUCAGAAAGCCACGGCUAACUACGUG
RNAcentral lists this ribosomal RNA (497 nucleotides) under uncultured bacterium. RNAcentral's name for it is "partial 16S ribosomal RNA". It matches the Rfam family "Bacterial small subunit ribosomal RNA", at positions 28 to 507 of the family's 1533-position model. The record is from RNAcentral.